GACGAACGCUGGCGGCGUGCCUAAUACAUGCAAGUCGAGCGCAGCGAGGAGGGGUGAGUAACACGUAGAAAACCUCCUUUAAGACCCGGUCAACUUGGGGAAACCGGAGCUAAACCGGAUAUUCAUGGAUGGAUCCUCGGUGCAUUAGCUAGUUGGUAAGUUAACGGCUUACAAAGGCAACGAUGCAUAGCCGACCUGAGAGGGUGAUCGGCCACACUGGAACUGAUACACGGUCCAGACUCCUACGGGAGGCAGCAGUAGGGAAUCUUCCGCAAUGGGCGAAAGCCUGACGGAGCAACGCCGCGUGAGUGAUGAAGGUCUUCGGAUCGUAAAACUCUGUUAUUAGGGAAGCGGUACCUAAUCAGAAAGCCACGGCUAACUACGUGCCAGCAGCCGCGGUAAUUC
This 405-nucleotide ribosomal RNA is filed under the name uncultured bacterium. RNAcentral describes it as "partial 16S ribosomal RNA". It matches the Rfam family "Bacterial small subunit ribosomal RNA", at positions 28 to 526 of the family's 1533-position model. The record is from RNAcentral.